Molecule: ribosomal RNA, 253 nt
Filed under: uncultured bacterium
Lineage: Bacteria
Description: partial 16S ribosomal RNA
Rfam family: Bacterial small subunit ribosomal RNA
Source: RNAcentral
UACGGGGGGGGCAAGCGUUGUUCGGAAUUACUGGGCGUAAAGGGUUCGUAGGUGGCCUGCUAAGUCAGACGUGAAAUCCCUCAGCUUAACUGGGGAACUGCGUCUGAUACUGGUGGGCUUGAGUGCAGGAGAGGAACGCGGAAUUCCAGGUGUAGCGGUGAAAUGCGUAGAUAUCUGGAGGAACACCGGUGGCGAAGGCGGCGUUCUGGACUGCAACUGACACUGAGGAACGAAAGCCAGGGGAGCAAACGGG